GUGGGGAAUCUUGCGCAAUGGGCGAAAGCCUGACGCAGCCAUGCCGCGUGAAUGAUGAAGGUCCUAGGAUUGUAAAAUUCUUUCACCGGGGACGAUAAUGACGGUACCCGGAGAAGAAGCCCCGGCUAACUUCGUGCCAGCAGCCGCGGUAAUACGAAGGGGGCUAGCGUUGCUCGGAAUUACUGGGCGUAAAGGGCGCGUAGGCGGACAGUUUAGUCAGAGGUGAAAGCCCAGGGCUCAACCUUGGAAUUGCCUUUGAUACUGGCUGUCUUGAGUACGGGAGAGGUGAGUGGAACUCCGAGUGUAGAGGUGAAAUUCGUAGAUAUUCGGAAGAACACCAGUGGCGAAGGCGACUCACUGGCCCGUUACUGACGCUGAGGCGCGAAAGCGUGGGGAGCAAACAGGAUUAGAAACCCUUGUAGUCC
RNAcentral lists this ribosomal RNA (425 nucleotides) under uncultured bacterium. Its description in RNAcentral is "partial 16S ribosomal RNA". It matches the Rfam family "Bacterial small subunit ribosomal RNA", at positions 354 to 796 of the family's 1533-position model. The record is from RNAcentral.